CUCCUACGGGAGGCAGCAGUAGGGAAUUUUCGGCAAUGGGGGAAACCCUGACCGAGCAACGCCGCGUGAAGGAAGAAGGUUUUCGGAUUGUAAACUUCUGUUAUAAAGGAAGAACGGCGGCUACAGGAAAUGGUAGCCGAGUGACGGUACUUUAUUAGAAAGCCACGGCUAACUACGUGCCAGCAGCCGCGGUAAUACGUAGGUGGCAAGCGUUAUCCGGAAUUAUUGGGCGUAAAGAGGGAGCAGGCGGCAGCAAGGGUCUGUGGUGAAAGCCUGAAGCUUAACUUCAGUAAGCCAUAGAAACCAGGCAGCUAGAGUGCAGGAGAGGAUCGUGGAAUUCCAUGUGUAGCGGUGAAAUGCGUAGAUAUAUGGAGGAACACCAGUGGCGAAGGCGACGAUCUGGCCUGCAACUGACGCUCAGUCCCGAAAGCGUGGGGAGCAAAUAGGAUUAGAUACCCUAGUAGUCCACGCCGUAAACGAUGAAUACUAAGUGUUGGAUGUCAAAGUUCAGUGCUGCAGUUAACGCAAUAAGUACUCCGCCUGAGUAGUACGUUCGCAAGAAUGAAACUCAAAGGAAUUGACGGGGGCCCGCACAAGCGGUGGAGCAUGUGGUUUAAUUCGAAGCAACGCGAAGAACCUUACCAGGUCUUGACAUACUCAUAAAGGCUCCAGAGAUGGAGAGAUAGCUAUAUGAGAUACAGGUGGUGCAUGGUUGUCGUCAGCUCGUGUCGUGAGAUGUUGGGUUAAGUCCCGCAACGAGCGCAACCCUUAUCGUUAGUUACCAUCAUUAAGUUGGGGACUCUAGCGAGACUGCCAGUGACAAGCUGGAGGAAGGCGGGGAUGACGUCAAAUCAUCAUGCCCCUUAUGACCUGGGCUACACACGUGCUACAAUGGAUGGUGCAGAGGGAAGCGAAGCCGCGAGGUGAAGCAAAACCCAUAAAACCAUUCUCAGUUCGGAUUGUAGUCUGCAACUCGACUACAUGAAGUUGGAAUCGCUAGUAAUCGCGAAUCAGCAUGUCGCGGUGAAUACGUUCUCGGGCCUUGUACACACCGC
This 1055-nucleotide ribosomal RNA is filed under the name uncultured bacterium. Its description in RNAcentral is "bacterial SSU rRNA". It matches the Rfam family "Bacterial small subunit ribosomal RNA", at positions 336 to 1393 of the family's 1533-position model. The record is from RNAcentral.